UUAGCAAUGCAUUUUGGCUAGUGUGUAAUUUAUCGUUUAUAAACAUGAAAUAUCAAUAUUAUCCAGAUAAUGUAAGCCAGUCAAUAGUGGAUUGCACAGUGCUUGUCUCUUGAAACAAUAGAAAACCUUUUAACAGUACAUGACAUUUUCAAAACUAAUAACUGGCGACAACAAUAUAUGAAACAGCUUUUUUCAAAGUUGUUAUCAUUACACUGGUAUUGUUUUACAUGGAUAAUAUUUUGAACGAUUUAUCGAUGUAAAAACUAUGAUCAACUCAGAAAAGUAAUGGUACUAAACGAUCAACUAUUAUGACAGUGGCAUAUUAUGAUAUCCAUAUGACCUCAGAAAAAUGUAUACCUGGUAAUCGGUUGGUUAAACUAAUGGUCUUGUAUGGCGUACAAUGAUCUUUAUAAUCAAAAUACGAUGUACAAAUGGUUGUGGUAAUUAUGAAUGGUCCCAAAUUCUUCACAUGCUACAAUAGACAUUAAUCAAAUGUUUAAACAGCAAAUGGCUUGGGCACCGGGAUAUCCCGUGAUUGAAAACUUUGAAUCGCAGCUAUCGUUAAAUAAACGGGAAAAAAGAUCCUGGACCAGAAAUCUAAUUAUCAUCUACAAAUUAGCGGAAACAUUAAAUAAUUGAUAACAUCAAAAUUUACAAGAUUACAGUCUCCACGUAAGGGUUUAUCUCAUAUAAAACCUUCAUUAUUUUCACCAUAAAUGUAUCAAGCGUAAUAAAAAAUAUUACACUUUUUUUUUAUAAAUGCACGAUAUUCU
Aphis gossypii (cotton aphid) is the source of this 773-nucleotide long non-coding RNA. RefSeq lists it as uncharacterized. The transcript is spliced from 4 exons. NCBI's taxonomy places the organism in Eukaryota, Metazoa, Arthropoda, Insecta, Hemiptera, Aphididae. The record is from RefSeq and is a predicted model, not a curated record.